Molecule: ribosomal RNA, 465 nt
Filed under: uncultured bacterium
Lineage: Bacteria
Description: partial 16S ribosomal RNA
Rfam family: Bacterial small subunit ribosomal RNA
Source: RNAcentral
CCUACGGGUGGCAGCAGUAGGGAAUCUUCCACAAUGGGCGAAAGCCUGAUGGAGCAACGCCGCGUGGGUGAAGAAGGUCUUCGGAUCUUAAAACCCUUUUGUUAGAGAAGAAAGUGCGGGAGAGUAACUGUUCACGUUUCGACGGUAUCUAACCAGGAAGCCACGGCUAACUACGUGCCAGCAGCCGCGGUAAUACGUAGGUGGCAAGCGUUAUCUGGAGUUAUUGGGCGUAAAGGGAACGCAGGCGGUCUUUUAAGUCUGAUGUGAAAGCCUUCGGCUUAACCGGGGUAGUGCAGUGGAAACUGGGAGACUUGAGUGCAGAAGAGGAGAGUGGAAUGCAAGGUGUAGCGGUGAAAUGCGUAGAUAUAUGGAAGAACACCGGUGGCGAAGGAGGCUCUCUGGUCUGUAACUGACGCUGAGGUUCGAAAGCGUGGGUAGCAAACAGGAUUAGAUACCCUAGUAGUC